CGUAGGGUGCGAGCGUUAAUCGGAAUUACUGGGCGUAGAGUGUGCGCAGGCGGCCGAGCAAGUCGAGUGUGAAAGCCCCGAGCUUAACUUGGGAACUGCGCUCGAAACUACUUGGCUAGAGUGUGGCAGAGGGAGGUGGAAUUCCACGUGUAGCGGUGAAAUGCGUAGAGAUGUGGAGGAACACCGAUGGCGAAGGCAGCCUCCUGGGCCAACACUGACGCUCAUGCACGAAAGCGUGGGGAGCAAACAGGAUUAGAUACCCUGGUAGUCCACGCCCUAAACGAUGAUGACUAGUUGUUGGAGGAGUUAAAUCCUUUAGUAACGCAGCUAACGCGUGAAGUCAUCCGCCUGGGGAGUACGGUCGCAAGAUUA
This 372-nucleotide ribosomal RNA is filed under the name uncultured organism. RNAcentral's name for it is "bacterial SSU rRNA". It matches the Rfam family "Bacterial small subunit ribosomal RNA", at positions 526 to 896 of the family's 1533-position model. The record is from RNAcentral.